This 862-nucleotide ribosomal RNA is filed under the name uncultured bacterium. RNAcentral describes it as "bacterial SSU rRNA". It matches the Rfam family "Bacterial small subunit ribosomal RNA", at positions 41 to 893 of the family's 1533-position model. The record is from RNAcentral.
GGCAUGGAUUAGGCAUGCAAGUCGAGCGAUCCCGUAAGGGAUAGCGGCAAAAGGGUGAGUAACACGUAAGUAAUUUUCCUUUAAGUCGGGGAUAGCACCGUGAAAAUGGUGGUAAUACCCGAUGUUAUCGGUAUUUCGCAUGAAAUUCCGAUCAAAGACGGGGAUCCUUCGGGACCUGUCGCUUAGAGAUGAGCUUGCGUACCAUCAGCUAGUUGGUAGGGUAACGGCCUACCAAGGCUAAGACGGUUAACUGGUCUGAGAGGACGACCAGCCACAUUGGGACUGAGACACUGCCCAGACUCCUACGGGAGGCUGCAGUCGAGAAUAUUUAGCAAUGGACGAAAGUCUGACUAUGCGACGCCGCGUGCAGGAUGAAGGUCUUCGGAUUGUAAACUGCUUUUGUUAGGGGAGAAACCUGUAUCAUUAAUAGUGCUACAGCUGACGGUACCUGACGAAUAAGCCACGGCAAACCCCGUGCCAGCAGCCGCGGUAAUACGGGGGUGGCAAGCGUUACUCGGAAUUAUUGGGUGUAAAGGGCAGGUAGGUGGCUCUGUAAGUGAGGGGUGAAAUCCUGCGGUUUAAUCGCAGAACAGCCUUUCAAACUGCAGAGCUUGAGAGUGAUAGAGGAAGAUGGAAUUCCUGGUGUAAGGGUGAAAUCUGUAGAUAUCAGGAAGGACACCAACGGCGAAGGCAAUCUUCUGGGUCACUUCUGACACUGAGCUGCGAAAGCUAGGGGAGCAAACAGAAUUAGAUACUCUGGUAGUCCUAGCCGUAAACGAUGAAUACUAGGUGUUGGUCCUUUCGGGGAUCAGUGCCGAAGCUAACGCAUUAAGUAUUCCACCUGGGGACUACGGUCGCAAGG